Molecule: ribosomal RNA, 497 nt
Filed under: uncultured bacterium
Lineage: Bacteria
Description: partial 16S ribosomal RNA
Rfam family: Bacterial small subunit ribosomal RNA
Source: RNAcentral
GAUGAACGCUGGCGGCGUGCCUAACACAUGCAAGUCGAGCGAACGGACGAGGGGUUUGCUUUUCUGAUGUUAGCGGCGGACGGGUGAGUAACACGUGGAUAACCUACCUAUACGACUGCGAUAACUUCGGCAAACCGGAGCUAACACCUGAUAAUAUUUUGCACCUCAUGGUUCAACAUUGAAAGACGGUCUUUCUGUCACUUAUAGAUGGAUCCGCGCUGCAUUAGCUAGUUGGUAAGGUAACGGCUUACCAAGGCAACGAUGCAUAGCCGACCUGAGAGGGUGGUAGGGCACACCAGAACUGAGACAAGGCCCAGACUACUACGGGACGGAGCAGAGGGGAAUCGUACACAAUGGGCGAAAGGCAGGCGGAGAAAAGCCGAGUGAGGGAUGAAGGGAUGCGGAUCGGAAUACUCUGUUACUAGGGAGGAACAUAUGUGUAAGUAACGGGGCAGUUCUUGAAGGUACCUAAUCAGAAAGCCACGGCUAACUACGUG